UGGGGAAUUUUGGACAAUGGGCGAAAGCCUGAUCCAGCAAUGCCGCGUGUGUGAAGAAGGCCUUCGGGUUGUAAAGCACUUUUGUCCGGAAAGAAAUCCUUGGCUCUAAUACAGUCGGGGGAUGACGGUACCGGAAGAAUAAGCACCGGCUAACUACGUGCCAGCAGCCGCGGUAAUACGUAGGGUGCAAGCGUUAAUCGGAAUUACUGGGCGUAAAGCGUGCGCAGGCGGUUUGCUAAGACCGAUGUGAAAUCCCCGGGCUCAACCUGGGAACUGCAUUGGUGACUGGCAGGCUAGAGUAUGGCAGAGGGGGGUUAGAAUUCCACGUGUAGCAGUGAAAUGCGUAGAGAUGUGGAGGAAUACCGAUGGCGAAGGCAGCCCCCUGGGCCAAUACUGACGCUCAUGCACGAAAGCGUGGGGAGCAAACAGGAUUAGAUACCCUGGUAGUCCACGCCCUAAAACGAUGUCAACUAGUUGUUGGGGAUUCAUUUCCUUAGUAACGUAGCUAACGCGUGAAGUUGACCGCCUGGGGAGUACGGUCGCAAGAUUAAAACUU
Molecule: ribosomal RNA, 556 nt
Filed under: uncultured bacterium
Lineage: Bacteria
Description: partial 16S ribosomal RNA
Rfam family: Bacterial small subunit ribosomal RNA
Source: RNAcentral